GAUGAACGCUAGCUACAGGCUUAACACAUGCAAGUCGAGGGGCAGCAUGGUCUUAGCUUGCUAAGGCCGAUGGCGACCGGCGCACGGGUGAGUAACACGUAUCCAACCUGCCGUCUACUCUUGGACAGCCUUCUGAAAGGAAGAUUAAUACAAGAUGGCAUCAUGAGUCCGCAUGUUCACAUGAUUAAAGGUAUUCCGGUAGACGAUGGGGAUGCGUUCCAUUAGAUAGUAGGCGGGGUAACGGCCCACCUAGUCUUCGAUGGAUAGGGGUUCUGAGAGGAAGGUCCCCCACAUUGGAACUGAGACACGGUCCAAACUCCUACGGGAGGCAGCAGUGAGGAAUAUUGGUCAAUGGGCGCAGGCCUGAACCAGCCAAGUAGCGUGAAGGAUGACUGCCCUAUGGGUUGUAAACUUCUUUUAUAAAGGAAUAAAGUCGGGUAUGGAUACCCGUUUGCAUGUACUUUAUGAAUAAGGAUCGGCUAACUCCGUGCCAGCAGCCGCGGUAAUACGGAGGAUCCGAGCGUUAUCCGGAUUUAUUGGGUUUAAAGGGAGCGUAGAUGGAUGUUUAAGUCAGUUGUGAAAGUUUGCGGCUCAACCGUAAAAUUGCAGUUGAUACUGGAUAUCUUGAGUGCAGUUGAGGCAGGCGGAAUUCGUGGUGUAGCGGUGAAAUGCUUAGAUAUCACGAAGAACUCCGAUUGCGAAGGCAGCCUGCUAAGCUGCAACUGACAUUGAGGCUCGAAAGUGUGGGUAUCAAACAGGAUUAGAUACCCUGGUAGUCCACACGGUAAACGAUGAAUACUCGCUGUUUGCGAUAUACGGCAAGCGGCCAAGCGAAAGCGUUAAGUAUUCCACCUGGGGAGUACGCCGGCAACGGUGAAACUCAAAGGAAUUGACGGGGGCCCGCACAAGCGGAGGAACAUGUGGUUUAAUUCGAUGAUACGCGAGGAACCUUACCCGGGCUUAAAUUGCAGAUGAAUUACGGUGAAAGCCGUAAGCCGCAAGGCAUCUGUGAAGGUGCUGCAUGGUUGUCGUCAGCUCGUGCCGUGAGGUGUCGGCUUAAGCGCCAUAACGAGCGCAACCCUUGUUGUCAGUUACUAACAGGUUCCGCUGAGGACUCUGACAAGACUGCCAUCGUAAGAUGUGAGGAAGGUGGGGAUGACGUCAAAUCAGCACGGCCCUUACGUCCGGGGCUACACACGUGUUACAAUGGGGGGUACAGAGGGCCGCUACCACGCGAGUGGAUGCCAAUCCCAAAAACCUCUCUCAGUUCGGACUGGAGUCUGCAACCCGACUCCACGAAGCUGGAUUCGCUAGUAAUCGCGCAUCAGCCACGGCGCGGUGAAUACGUUCCCGGGCCUUGUACACACCGCCCGUCAAGCCAUGGGAGCCGGGGGUACCUGAAGUGCGUAACCGCGAGGAGCGCCCUAGGGUAAAACUGGUGACUGGGGC
RNAcentral lists this ribosomal RNA (1449 nucleotides) under uncultured organism. RNAcentral's name for it is "16S ribosomal RNA". It matches the Rfam family "Bacterial small subunit ribosomal RNA". The record is from RNAcentral.